Ctenopharyngodon idella (grass carp) is the source of this 4681-nucleotide long non-coding RNA. RefSeq lists it as uncharacterized. The record is from RefSeq and is a predicted model, not a curated record. NCBI's taxonomy places the organism in Eukaryota, Metazoa, Chordata, Actinopteri, Cypriniformes, Xenocyprididae. The transcript is spliced from 3 exons.
UGGCAAUAACCACAAUAUUUAAAAUGAAUAGGACUCUUAUGAUAUCAUGACACGUAAAUACUCCAGCGCCAGUACCUGGUUGACCUCUCAGGUGGCAGUAUUGCACUUUAACGCUGAUACCUGUCAAACAAGAAGAAGACGCAGUCCCAGCGGGAGAGUGAGAGGUUCGGUCCACACCCGAAAAAAGUAAGCUCGACAGUAUGGGAGUUUUUCGGCUUCAAAGAAAACAGCUCCUUAUAGCCCGAUCUGCAGAAUUUGCCUGGCUACAGUCAGUGCGAAGGGUGGCAACACCACCAACCUUUUUACCCACCUCCGUGUCCAUCACCCUGCGGAUUACGCCAUUUUACAGAUGUUGGUGUGUCCCAGGGACCCAAGCCACAUUAGCGGGUGAUCUGUCUUCACGGCAGGCAUGUUAAGUAGGUUGAUGAAAGCUAUCUCUCUGCAUUCCGUCUUUGACACUGCCACUCACAGAUAUCUGCGCCUAUAAUGAAGUGCUGAUUUAGCUGACGAACCAUGGAUAGAGAUCAGAGAUGGAAUGCAAAGAUUGAGUAAGUAGACAUACUCUCACAGCAAAACACACUUUUGUGCAUCUGCAUAAGUACGUCAUUACGUCUGUUACUUUUGUCCUUUAUGGAAAGUUGAAGUAAACGAGACAAAACAGAGAGAGAUAAAACAACAGAAAAAUAUAAGACUUUUAGUACAGAGAGCUACCGUUGGCUACUGAACUGACUUCAGCUGAACAAUGUCACUAUUUUAUUUUAGAGCUGCUGUAUAGCCGAAAUGAACUCUGUUUGCAUCAUUGAAUCAUUAUUUUUCUGCGUAUCACUGUAAAGCUUCUUUGAAACAAUUUGUAUUGUUUAUAAGCACUAUAUAAACAAAGGUGAUUUGACUACUGUUGAGAGAGGGGACAUCAGACCCCCCCCCCACCUUUUUCAUAUUAUUAUUAUUAUUAUUAUUAUCAUAUUUUUUUAUAUAUUUCAAAUAGUAUUUAUAUUUGUAUCAUAUGUGUAUGUUUUCAGGAAUAUUAGUAUAUUAAUAUAAAAAAUAGACAAAGACCAAAUAUAUAACUAACCAAAACAUAACUUUUAACACCCACUGAAAGUUGUUCAUUGACAGUAAAUGCAAAGCCAUCGUAAACGUAUAAAUGUGAAGCUUAUCUCACAGAAUAAUAUUUCGCUUUUCAUUUUAUUUUCCCUUAAGUUAUCUAUGGAUAACACACAGGAAAGAUAUGCUGCUUAGAAACAUUUUUCAGAGGAGCAACUUUCAUACUCCCAAUAGUCCACACUGAUUUUUGCUUUGCUUGAGUUGUCCCAUCAAGGUUUCUCCAUGUUCUGUUAUUCUCCCAUGUAAUACUUGUAUUGCAAAGCCACAUCAGGCCUCAGCAGAAAAGAUGUACUCAUGGGCUGAGUUUUUUUCUAGCACUACAGGCCAGAUUUAAUCCAUUUAAACUGAUUUUAUUUCUGAUUUAUCAUAUAAGAAACUGCACAUUUCUGGCACUGUCACUGUUAGUGUUUUCCAGGCAGGCCAGUAUUUCCAAGAAGCAAGAACACCACAGGCCCACAUGGAGCUGACCAUUCCACUGAUUUACUGCCAAGAAAUAACUUGAUUUGAGCUUUGAAGUGUCCAGAUGGAAGGGUGUGAAAGACGUGGGAGUAAGCAUGUGCACACAUGAUCCAGGCCAUGCACAACUUGUACUUAUACUUGGCCCGUUCCUUUGGUACUGGAAGUACAGGUAGUUCUCUUGGAGUUAUCUUAUAUUCUGAACCGUUCUGUGUUGUUUAUUGUUCUAGGUCCUUUCUUGGUAAUUAUUCAAAUUAUUUUUUAUCAUGCUAAUUGAUUCCACUAAGUACCGCAGGCUGCAUCAAUACAUUACUCUGAUUUGCACUUUGAGUGGAUAACCAUCUGAGAUAUAAUUCUUAUGUGGGUUUGUGACUGCUGUACUGGGGGCCUUUUCAUUAUGCAGAUGUUCCCAUCAAUUUCAUGUAUCAUAGAUGUUUACUCACAGUUGUGGGUGUUUUGCUCUUUAAUUAGCACUUUACUUUAAUUAGUGCCUCUGUUCUGGCAUUAGCUGUUUACUAUUAACUUUCUACAUUCCACUAAAAAUAUUUGAAAGUGUUUUUUUUUUUGUUGUUUGUUAUUUUUUUCCCCGAAGGAAGGAUGAAGCUGACAUUUAGUCCAACAGGUCCAUCUAGUGGCAUAACCUUAAGAUCGAGUCUCCACACAUGAGAGAUGUGGGGUCUGAUUCUGCUAGUGUCUUUUGACUUCUGUAAAUGCUUGAGAGAAGUGUCAGUAAGCAAUCUGGACCGGAAGAUGUGUGUUUGUACUGAGUCUGAUAACAGAGCAACUACAAGGGUGUCCGUGUGAAUGACUGUCAAGGAAAUGACAAAUCAAAGAGUAGGGGUGAGCAGGGCACAACGUGGGGCUAGUUGUAACACACAUGGUUUAAAACUUUCCACACAUGCCAGCAUAACAAAUGACAAAAAGUGGUGCAUUUACUAGUUGCCAUAUCAACACUAUAUAGAGAAAAAAAUUGCAGCAAAAUUCAAAAAUCUUUGGAAGAUAUCACUGAACAUUUAUUUAACCAUAGCAAAAGUCAAUUUCUUACUGAAAUAAUUUUUCUCAGUUUUUGUUCAUAUAAAAUGAGACAAAUCUGCAAUUAUUUUAAUCUCCACUCUGUUAUUUAGCAGUUUAGAUAGUUCUUUAAUGCUGAUCUAACCAGCAGAAGGCACUAGCCGGGGUUUAAAUCCCAGUUGUGCAGAUAAGGCAUGCUGUAACACUGAGUUACAAUGUGUCACUAUUAGAACUAUGCAGUUCUAUGAUGUUAGUGACAUAAUUCACAUUAAAAACUUUUUAUUUUCUAUUGAGAAACCAUGAGAAAAAGGUAAAUAAAAAUGAGAGUCAAUGUUCAGAAAUGAUUAAUUAUUAUUAUGUUUUGAACUAUGCUGUAUAACUGUGUUUUGGGGUGUGUUUGAAAAUUAGCUUAUUUUUAAUUAUUAAAAAAUGCCAUUAUUUUAUAUGAAAAAGUUAAUUGUAUUUUAUUGACAAAAAUAUUUUAGUUUGUCUUGUAUAUUUCUUUUUAUUAGAUCAGAUAACAUUUUAAGCUGUCAUAUGGUCAUGUUAAAACGUGCCCCACCUACUCUGAAGUGGAUUUACACAAAUUGAGAAAGUCAAAAAGUGUUAGGCUGUGCCCCGCUCUCCUCUAUUGAACAGAGGCAUAGCCAAACCAACAGAUCUACCUCAAUUCAGUGGAAAAAAUAAAAAUAAAAAAAUGUUUUAAAAAAUGUUAGAAUGUUUUAAUUCUUCACUUUUGUUUUUUGUUUUUUUGUUUUCAAAAUUCUCCACAAAUUCUUCUAAUUUCACACUCUGUGCACAGUGUUAUUUUUAAGUUUCUAUAUUAUAGAUUUUAUAUAUUACCUGAUUUUAAAUAUUUUAUUCAUAUUGUGAAUUAUUAUUACAAUUUAUAAUAUCUGUUUACUAUUUUCACAGCUGAACAGUGUCACAUGGACCUUCAGAAAUUAUUCUAAUAUGCUGAUUUGGUGCAAAAACAUUUCUUCUUAUUAUCAGUGUUAUAUAAAUAUAUAUUCCUGAUCAUCAUAGCUGUUCUAGCACAUGUCCUCACUUUAAUAUUAUCAGGCUCAGGAAUCAGAACAAAGCAAAGCUAGCAAGGUGUUCCAGAUCAGAUUUCUGUCUUGUUUUUAACCUCAUUUUUAACCAAUUAGGAUAGUAUAACAUGAAGUCUGCCUGAUCUAACCAUUAGGGUGAAGAGAAGACACAUGAAAGUUUAGCGCCUCAGGACAACAUUUCACAAGGCAUGGAUUUUCGAGCGCUGACCGCUGAAAAAUUGGUCAAAUUCAUUAGCAGUUGCUUACACCGGCCUUGAAGUGUAUGAUAAAAAUGAUAGUUUCCAUGGUAACUGAUGGUGUUCCAAAACCAAGAGUAAGACAGGUUGCAAGUGGACCACUCUCGUUUAUAAAUGUGGAAAGGUUAUGCUGUAGUAGCUGACAUCCAAGCUUGAUUAUGGUUUUAUUAUUGUGCUUUGACCUCAAAUGCUUUACAUGAAUAAGCUGGAUAGGGCUGUGCCAGAUGGCAUAUUCAUUCAUUUUUCUUAUUAAAUGAAUGACGUGUCACCCAUUCCCCACAAUCAAACACUCCUAUGUUUGCAUUCAGUGACUUCACCGUAUCCAUAGAAACAAGUCAUUGGUGUUAGGCAGGGUGUUAGGAGGCCCUCUUAUAUCACAUGUCAUUUAGAGUUUCACACUUCUAGAGUAUGCACACACACACACACACACACACACACACACAAACAAACUACAGACGAGACAAGGUGGGCAUGUGGUGAAGACAUUUAUUCCCUAAAAACUGAAUUUUCACUACUGAUUUCAAAUAAUGUUUUUAACCGUCAUAUCAUUUGCCCCUAAAGGCCAGUUAGAAUGUGCCUCUUAAUCUUAUCUGUGUGUGUCUGUUGAACUCACACGCAGUGCUUCAGAGAGACAAGGUCUGAAAGAUACUAAAAGGUUUGUUUGAACAUACUCAACUAUACAGAAAGUACUGUUAUAAUGAACUGCAUAGAUAUUCCAGCUACAUGUUUAGAAAAAAUAAAAACUUAAUUUUAUUUAUAGUGCAAUAAAAGGAAGAGCAGGUGGCUUUAUGGAGGCUAAAGGGGGAGAUUAAAGGGUUAGUU